This 434-nucleotide ribosomal RNA is filed under the name uncultured bacterium. RNAcentral's name for it is "partial 16S ribosomal RNA". It matches the Rfam family "Bacterial small subunit ribosomal RNA", at positions 29 to 508 of the family's 1533-position model. The record is from RNAcentral.
AACGAACGCUGGCGGCAGGCCUAACACAUGCAAGUCGAGCGAGGACUUCGGUUCUUGCGGCGGACGGGUGAGUAACGAGUGGGAAUGUGCACUUCUCUACGGAAUAGCCCUGGGAAACUGGGAGUAAUACCGUAUACGCCCUAUUGGGGAAAGAUUUAUCGGAGAAGGAUCAGCCUGCGUUGGAUUAGGUAGUUGGUGGGGUAAUGGCCUACCAAGCCGACGAUCCAUAGCUGGUUUGAGAGGAUGAUCAGCCACACUGGGACUGAGACACGGCCCAGACUCCUACGGGAGGCAGCAGUGGGGAAUCUUAGACAAUGGGGGCAACCCUGAUCUAGCCAGGCCGCGUGAGUGAUGAAGGCCUUAGGGUUGUAAAGCUCUUUCAGCGGGGAAGAUAAUGACGGUACCAGCAGAAGAAGCCCCGGCUAACUCCGUGC